GACGAACGCUGGCGGCGUGCUUAACACAUGCAAGUCGAACGGUGAAGCGCCUUCCUUUUUGGUGGGUGUGGAUGAGUGGCGAACGGGUGAGUAACACGUGAGUAACCUGCUCCCUUCUUCUGGAUAACCGCAUGAAAGUGUGGCUAAUACGGGAUAUUCUGGGUCUGUCGCAUGAUGGGUGUGGGAAAGAUUUUGUUUCGGUGGGGGAUGGGCUCGCGGCCUAUCAGCUUGUUGGUGGGGUGAUGGCGUACCAAGGCGGCGAUGCGUAGCCGGCCUGAGAGGGUGAGUGACCGUCAUGCAAGUGAUGCAAGACCGCGCAUCCUACGACAGGAAGCAGCAGGGAAGAAUCUGGCACGAGGGACGGAAUGCUGGUGCAACGACGCCUGAGUGAGGAAGGAGUUCUUCGGGUUGAGAACCUCUUUCGGCAAUGAAGCAAGGCUGCAUCGUUUGUGGGUGGGUUGACGGUAGCUGGACAAGAAGCGCCGGCUAACUACGUG
RNAcentral lists this ribosomal RNA (497 nucleotides) under uncultured bacterium. RNAcentral describes it as "partial 16S ribosomal RNA". It matches the Rfam family "Bacterial small subunit ribosomal RNA", at positions 28 to 507 of the family's 1533-position model. The record is from RNAcentral.